Homo sapiens (human) is the source of this 1448-nucleotide long non-coding RNA. Ensembl annotates it as long intergenic non-protein coding RNA 861. NCBI's taxonomy places the organism in Eukaryota, Metazoa, Chordata, Mammalia, Primates, Hominidae. The record is from Ensembl.
GAGUAGCUGGGACUACAGGCGCCCGCGACUACGCCCGGCUAAUUUUUUGUAUUUUUAGUAGAGACGGGGUUUCACCGUGUUAGCCAGGAUGGUCUUCGUCUCCUGACCUCGUGAUCCGCCCGCCUCGGUCCCCUAAAGUGCUGGGAUUACAGGCAUACACUCUUAAGUAACCUGGUGGGGACCCAUCAAACUACAAAGGGUUAUAGCUACUCUUACAGAAGACAUAAGAAGAUAUAUACGCAGAGAAGACAUCAUAAGACCUGAAGAUGAAAAACUUCUGAUCACAGAAGAAAGAUAUACAACAGCCUUGAAGCAUUCUGAGAACCCAGUGAAGGCAAUAAUGUCUCUUCCCAGAGAAAUUCACAGGUAUCCCACUUCUAAGAUGCCUGAUCUGAAGGACAGUAAAACAACUGACCUUUGCCAGCAUGUAAAACACAUGGUUUAACUAGUCCUCCAGGAACAACACUGAGCAAUCCUGACCUGGGACUACUUUACUCGGCCAUCUCCUACUUGAGAUGCUCCUUGUCUCUCUGUUCAAGGACACCUUUUCUGAGCCUUUCUUGAACAAGAGUGGAGGACCGAUAGGGCGAUUAAACUGUCCUUGACACAACUUUAGGUUGGUUUGCCUAAACUACUAGGUUCUCAAUCUAUAUGAACCUCCUCCAGCAUUCUAAUUUGUUUGCUCUGUCUUAGACCCAGAAUCCCACCCCAUGUGCCUAACCAUAGACCAAUCUUCCUGCCUUAACUUCUCUGCUACCAAUUUUGAUGUAGCCCAGUAAGUUUCAGCAUCAUCCCUCACCACCCCACAGUCCCUCACCCUGCCCCCACCCCCACCACACACACACAUACCAGCUCUUAGCAUCAAAUCCCCUUCCAUUUUCCAUAAGCAUCUCUUCCCAGGUCUCUGCAUAUAAAAGCUAUGUUUGCUCACCCCAUGCCUGAGACUUUCCUGGCUUAGAUCUUGAGCAUCUUUCUAUUAUAAGAUUCUCCCUUAGUAAUGAUUUCCUCACUUAACUUCAGAUUUGUACAUUUUUUUUUCAUUGACAGUGCAAAAGAUACCAUUUAGGAUUUGAUUUUCAGAAGGUAAAAUAUAAAACAUUGUCAGGAAAUUCGAAUACUUAAUUAAGUAGGAUAAUGGAUUACUGAGAAAUAGUACUUGGUUAUCUAUUUAAUCAAAUGAUGUAAAAUAAUUUUAGAGUAGAUAUAGGAGGUAACAUAAUUGCAAAGAACUUCAUCUCUUUUAUAUGAAGACUGUUCUCUUAAAUAAUCAAGGACUCGAAAAAGUCAGCACAAAGCAUGGAAAAUUAUUCUGAUGAGAUUCUGAAUGUUUAUCUUCUAAGAAGAUUACUCAGAAGGUAAAGAAAAAUAUUUUACAAGCUCUUACUAAGAGAAUACACUAAUCCAAAAAAAUUAUUUUAAUAGAGAAUAAAACAAAUUCUAGUUUUGCA